GCAUGCCUUUAUAAACCAGAUUGUCCCAUACAGGCGGGAGAUUUGGAAACAACACUUUCUGUUUUACUACUCCUCGUGUCAAGUACAGAAAUACACAAAUUCUUCCAGACCGGUGCCAGGUACGCAAGAGUCAAAUAUGCAACUGUUGCGUUUAAAGUCAACAAAACAUCCGUGCAUAACAUACCUGACCUAUUCAGUUGGUACAAGAGUAUCGAAUUAAUGGGAGUCGGCGCCCAAAUGGACGCGUUAGACUUUAAAACGAAUAAAGAGUUGCUGUUUUUCUUCCACCGGAAAAAGACGGAGAUUUCGUGCAUAGAAGACCCGCACAGACUCCUCACCCAGCUGCGCGACCACGAUCUGGUGCCAGAGAAACUUUUUGAGAAUGUGAAAAAGAUGCGUUCUCGUAAGCAGAAGGAGAAGGGCUUCUAUGAGGUUCUGGACUGGGUGGAGAAAAAUAGACCUCAGGAAAUACAACAGUUCUGGCGCUGUGUGUUUGAAGAUCAUAUCCUUCAGCAGUACCCAACGCUACGUAUCCUCAGAAACAGUCUGCUGGACGGUUACUGGUUUUCAUUAUUAUACUAAUAUAAUAUUGAACUAUACUGAACUAUACUACAAUAGAUCAAGAAUGCGUUCAUAAGUACAGUACCUUUUUAUUCUUUUCUUUGUCCAGGCACUUUCAAACUCUAUGAGAAACCUCCGGAUGUUGAGACACUCACAGAGGAGGAAGACAGCGAAGGAAAGGCAGAGAAAGGAAAGGAGAAGAGCUACAAAAGAAAGGGAAGUAAAGAUGACAAAAGUAGUGAGGAUAGUGAUGAUCCUGGUCCUUCCUCUACUUCCACACCCAAGCGGAGGAAACCAGCCAAAAAACCCUCAUUCUGUAAGUCCCUGAACUACAGCAG
Molecule: long non-coding RNA, 899 nt
Filed under: Sinocyclocheilus grahami
Lineage: Eukaryota; Metazoa; Chordata; Actinopteri; Cypriniformes; Cyprinidae
Description: lncRNA (ENSSGRG00000046915.1)
Source: RNAcentral